AUUUAAAUAGUUUAAUUAAAAUUUUGAUUUGUGGAAUCAAGGAUGUAAGAUAGAGUACUUUAAAUA
This 66-nucleotide transfer RNA is filed under the name Rhopaea magnicornis (brown cockchafer). RNAcentral describes it as "tRNA-His". Lineage: Eukaryota; Metazoa; Arthropoda; Insecta; Coleoptera; Scarabaeidae. The record is from RNAcentral.